AACGUAGGUUCCGAGCGUUAUCCGGAUUUACUGGGCGUAAAGCGCGUUCAGGCGGUUUGGCAAGUCGGGCAUGAAAUCUCUCGGCUCAACCGGGAGAGGUUGUCCGAUACUGCUGGACUUGAGGGCAGUAGAGGGUGGUGGAAUUCCUGGUGUAGCGGUGAAAUGCGCAGAUAUCAGGAGGAACACCGAUGGCGAAGGCAGGUCUCUGGGCCACUACUGACGCUGAGAAGCGAAAGCAUGGGGAGCGAACAGG
RNAcentral lists this ribosomal RNA (253 nucleotides) under uncultured bacterium. RNAcentral's name for it is "partial 16S ribosomal RNA". It matches the Rfam family "Bacterial small subunit ribosomal RNA", at positions 524 to 776 of the family's 1533-position model. The record is from RNAcentral.